UCCCUGGUGACUCAGAGGUUAAAGCGUCUGCCUGCAAUGCAGGAGACCCGGGUUCGAUCCCUGGGUUGGGAA
RNAcentral lists this transfer RNA (72 nucleotides) under Bos taurus (domestic cattle). It matches the Rfam family "tRNA". Rfam says of the family: Transfer RNA (tRNA) molecules are approximately 80 nucleotides in length. RNAcentral also lists the same sequence under 3 other names. Lineage: Eukaryota; Metazoa; Chordata; Mammalia; Artiodactyla; Bovidae. The record is from Rfam by way of RNAcentral.